UACGUAGGGGGCAAGCGUUGUCCGGAUUUAUUGGGCGUAAAGGGUGCGCAGGCGGCCUUUUAAGUCAGGUGUGAAAGAUCACGGCUCAACCGUGGUAAGCACUUGAAACUGGAAGGCUUGAGUUAAGGAGAGGAAAGUGGAAUUCCUAGUGUAGCGGUGAAAUGCGUAGAUAUUAGGAGGAAUACCAGUGGCGAAGGCGACUUUCUGGACUUAUACUGACGCUGAGGCACGAAAGCGUGGGGAGCGAACAGGAUUAGAUACCUUGGUAGUCCACGCCGUAAACGAUGAGCGCUAGGUGUUGGGGGUCAAACCUCGGUGCCGCAGCUAACGCAUUAAGCGCUCCGCCUGGGGAGUACGUGCGCAAGCAUGAA
RNAcentral lists this ribosomal RNA (371 nucleotides) under uncultured bacterium. RNAcentral describes it as "bacterial SSU rRNA". It matches the Rfam family "Bacterial small subunit ribosomal RNA", at positions 524 to 898 of the family's 1533-position model. The record is from RNAcentral.